Molecule: ribosomal RNA, 429 nt
Filed under: Bacteroidota bacterium
Lineage: Bacteria; Pseudomonadati; Bacteroidota
Description: Bacteroidetes bacterium partial 16S ribosomal RNA
Rfam family: Bacterial small subunit ribosomal RNA
Source: RNAcentral
UAGGGAAUCUUCGGCAAUGGGGGGAACCCUGACCGAGCAACGCCGCGUGAGUGAAGAAGGUUUUCGGAUCGUAAAGCUCUGUUGUUAAGGAAGAACGAGUGUGAGAAUGGAAAGUUCAUGCUGUGACGGUACUUAACCAGAAAGGGACGGCUAACUACGUGCCAGCAGCCGCGGUAAUACGUAGGUCCCGAGCGUUGUCCGGAUUUAUUGGGCGUAAAGCGAGCGCAGGCGGUUAGAAAAGUCUGAAGUGAAAGGCAGUGGCACAACCAUUGUAGGCUUUGGAAAAUGUUUAACUUGAGUGCAGAAGGGGAGAGUGGAAUUCCAUGUGUAGCGGUGAAAUGCGUAGAUAUAUAGAGGAACACCGGUGGCGAAAGCGGCUCUCUGGUCUGUAACUGACGCUGAGGCUCGAAAGCGUGGGGAGCGAACAGG